UUCCGUUAACGAACGAGACCUCGGCACUCCGAAUAGCGCGGCGGACGUCGCGGCCUCCGGGCCGUCUUCCGCACGAGCUUCUUAGAGGGACCGUCCCCCGCCGGGGAAGGAGGUGCGAGGCAACGACAGGUCUGUGAUGCCCUUAGAUGUUCUGGGCCGCACGCGCAUUACACUGACGCGUCCAACGGGUGACUCCCGACCCGAAGGGGCCGGGGAAUCCGCAAGGCGCGUCGUGAUGGGGAUUGAACGUUGCAAUUGUUGUUCACGAACGAGGAAUUCCUAGUAGGCGCGGGUCAUCAACCCGCGCCGAUUACGUCCCUGCCCUUUGUACACACCGCCCGUCGCUCCUACCGAUCGAACGGUCCGGUGAGGACCCAGGACGGCGCGGGACCCGAGGGGCCGAAAGGCUCCGCGACCCGUGUCGGAAUCCGUCCGAACCUUACCGUUUAGAGGAAGGAG
RNAcentral lists this ribosomal RNA (459 nucleotides) under uncultured eukaryote. RNAcentral's name for it is "bacterial SSU rRNA". It matches the Rfam family "Eukaryotic small subunit ribosomal RNA", at positions 1323 to 1785 of the family's 1831-position model. The record is from RNAcentral.